This 313-nucleotide ribosomal RNA is filed under the name uncultured bacterium. Its description in RNAcentral is "bacterial SSU rRNA". It matches the Rfam family "Bacterial small subunit ribosomal RNA", at positions 28 to 334 of the family's 1533-position model. The record is from RNAcentral.
GACGAACGCUGGCGGCGUGGCGUUAACACAUGCAAGUCGAACGGAAAGGCCUCUUGCUUGGCAAGGGGUACUCGAGUGGCGAACGGGUGAGUAACACGUGGGUGAUCUGCCUUGCACUUCGGGAUAAGCCUGGGAAACUGGGUCUAAUACCGGAUAGGACCAUGCUUUAGUGUGUGUGUGGUGGAAAGUUUUUUCGGUGCGAGAUGAGCCCGCGGCCUAUCAGCUUGUUGGUGGGGUAAUGGCCUACCAAGGCGACGACGGGUAGCCGGCCUGAGAGGGUGUACGGCCACAUUGGGACUGAGACACGGCCCAG